GUGGCCUAGUGGUUAAAGUGUCCGCAUUAGACGCGGGAGGUCGCGGGUUAGAAUCCUCGCUAAAUCA
Potamilus streckersoni is the source of this 67-nucleotide non-coding RNA. NCBI's taxonomy places the organism in Eukaryota, Metazoa, Mollusca, Bivalvia, Unionida, Unionidae. The record is from the annotation of a GenBank genome assembly.